RNAcentral lists this ribosomal RNA (578 nucleotides) under uncultured bacterium. Its description in RNAcentral is "bacterial SSU rRNA". It matches the Rfam family "Bacterial small subunit ribosomal RNA", at positions 102 to 694 of the family's 1533-position model. The record is from RNAcentral.
ACGGGUGAGUAACACGUGGGUGAUCUGCCCUGCACUCUGGGAUAAGCCUGGGAAACUGGGUCUAAUACCGGAUAGGACCACACACUUCAUGGUGAGUGGUGCAAAGCUUUUGCGGUGUGGGAUGAGCCCGCGGCCUAUCAGCUUGUUGGUGGGGUAAUGGCCCACCAAGGCGACGACGGGUAGCCGGCCUGAGAGGGUGACCGGCCACACUGGGACUGGGAUACGGCCCAGACUCCUACGGGAGGCAGCAGUGGGGAAUAUUGCACAAUGGGCGCAAGCCUGAUGCAGCGACGCCGCGUGAGGGAUGACGGCCUUCGGGUUGUAAACCUCUUUCAGUAGGGACGAAGCGAAAGUGACGGUACCUACAGAAGAAGGACCGGCCAACUACGUGCCAGCAGCCGCGGUAAUACGUAGGGUCCGAGCGUUGUCCGGAAUUACUGGGCGUAAAGAGCUCGUAGGUGGUUUGUCGCGUUGUUCGUGAAAACUCACAGCUUAACUGUGGGCGUGCGGGCGAUACGGGCAGACUAGAGUACUGCAGGGGAGACUGGAAUUCCUGGUGUAGCGGUGGAAUGCGCAGA